This 406-nucleotide ribosomal RNA is filed under the name uncultured bacterium. RNAcentral's name for it is "partial 16S ribosomal RNA". It matches the Rfam family "Bacterial small subunit ribosomal RNA", at positions 30 to 526 of the family's 1533-position model. The record is from RNAcentral.
AUUGAACGCUGGCGGCAGGCCUAACACAUGCAAGUCGAGCGAGCGGCGGACGGGUGAGUAAUGCCUAGGAAUCUGCCUGGUAGUGGGGGAUAACGUCCGGAAAAGGUAGCUAAUACCGCAUACCAUCAGAUGUGCCCAGGUGGGAUUCGCUAGUAGGUGGGGUAAUGGCUCACCUAGGCGACGAUGCCUAGCUGGUCUGAGAGGAUGACCAGCCACACUGGAACUGAGACACGGUCCAGACUCCUACGGGAGGCAGCAGUGGGGAAUAUUGGACAAUGGGCGCAAGCCUGACGCAGCAAUGCCGCGUGAAUGAAGAAGGCCUUCGGGUUGUAAAGUACUUUCAGUGGGGAGGCGGUACCCGCAGAAGAAGCACCGGCUAACUCCGUGCCAGCAGCCGCGGUAAUAC